UAGGGAAUCUUCCGCAAUGGACGCAAGUCUGCGGAGCAACGCCGCGUGAGUGANGAAGGUCUUCGGAUCGUAAANCUCUGUUGUCAGGGAAGAACAAGUGCCGUUUGAAUAAGGCGGCACCUUGACGGUACCUGACCAGAAAGCCACGGCUAACUACGUGCCAGCAGCCGCGGUAAUACGUAGGUGGCAAGCGUUGUCCGGAAUUAUUGGGCGUAAAGCGCUCGCAGGCGGUUCCUUAAGUCUGAUGUGAAAUCUUGCAGCUUAACUGCAAGCGGUCAUUGGAAACUGGGGGACUUGAGUACAGAAGAGGAGAGCGGAAUUCCACGUGUAGCGGUGAAAUGCGUAGAGAUGUGGAGGAACACCAGUGGCGAAGGCGGCUCUCUGGUCUGUAACUGACGCUCAGGAGCGAAAGCGUGGGUAGCGAACAGGAUUAGAUACCCUGGUAGUCCACGCCGUAAACGAUGAGUGCUAGGUGUUAGGGGGUUUCCGCCCUUAGUGCUGGAGUUAACGCAUUAAGCACUUCGCCUGGGGAGUACGGCCGCAAGGCUG
RNAcentral lists this ribosomal RNA (549 nucleotides) under uncultured bacterium 13-20:1. RNAcentral's name for it is "bacterial SSU rRNA". It matches the Rfam family "Bacterial small subunit ribosomal RNA", at positions 355 to 896 of the family's 1533-position model. The record is from RNAcentral.